This 2078-nucleotide long non-coding RNA is filed under the name Mus musculus (house mouse). RNAcentral's name for it is "long non-coding RNA chr17:57358712-57360790". Lineage: Eukaryota; Metazoa; Chordata; Mammalia; Rodentia; Muridae. The record is from RNAcentral.
CUGCCACAGUACGAUGUGGGGCUUUUGGCUGCUCCUCUUCUGGGGUGAGUAUGAGGUUGAAUGGGGCAUGGAUGGCUGAGGUGUGGGCUGGAAAUAGGUUGCAGGGAGAAAGGCCAACCUUGGAGGGGUUCGGCCCAUAGGCUAAUGUCUAUUGCACACAGCAAACUUUACCUUGGGAAACCUUUGACAAAAUUCCUUGACUUAGGGAAGUCUAUUCACCAGGGUAGAUCUUCCUGUAGCUGUUCAUGUGGCAUGUCUGUGUUUGUGAGCCAUCUCAGUUUUAGUUAGAAUUUAACAUGGAGUAAACUUGUGAGGCUCCGGUGCGUGCAUCUGGGAUGGUGCAAGGGGGAUGGAAGUCCACACAGCAAUGGAAACAGUCCCCUUACCAUUGCGUAGCCCUUUUUUAUCAGCCAUAGCUCACAAAGCAGAACAUGGGUGUGAAAGAGGUAACUUGCCGGGCUUUGGCAACAGUUUAGUGUGUAAAGUGCUUGUCCUACAAGCACAAAGAUCUGGAUUUGAUCCCAGAAUUUAUGUUAAAAAACCAAGUAUGUGGUACACUUCUACCUCUGGCUCUGGAGAGUAGAGAAGGAGGAUUCCUUGGUUCUUGAUGGCCAGCUAGCCUAGCCCAAUUGGUGGAUUCCAGAUCAGUGAGAAAGUCUGUCUCUAAACAAUUAAGGUAGAUGGAACUGGAGAAAGGUGUUUGAGGUCAUCCUCUGGUUCCUACAUGCCAGUACACACAAGUGCAUGUUCACCUGCACUACACAUUGCACAAUGUCAUGCACACACAACACAAGUGCAAUGCACACACAGACAUGCAAUGCACACAAAAGGCACAUGUGUACUCACAGAUGCAAAAAGAAAUACUGUGAGCAAGUCUUAGCUAAUGAGGGGUAGAGCCACGGUAUAAAAUCAUUCCAGCUCUGGCCUUGUUCAAACUCUUAGUCAUGGCUGGUUUGUGCUGUGGGAGUCAGCGAAGAUAGUCCCGUUCUAGAAAUAGACUCGGGGCUACACCUUCCUUUUCUGGCUCCUGUUGCUUUUGUUUUGGGCACUAGCGCAUUUCACUGUGUGAUCUUCCACGUCACUGGUUUUCUCGCGUGUUUGCAAGAUUUUUUUUCCCCAUUGUUUUAAAUUUAGAUGGGAGAUAUGGAUUUCCGGUUUUAGGGAUGAGAAGAGGGAUCUAUUUUGCCUCACAGUUUGAGAUGGUAUGGUCUGCCAUGUUGUGGAAGCCUUGGAAGAGUCAUAGUUAGAUGGUGGGCUGGCACUGCUUUCUGCUUGUUGACUGUGAAGCAGAGAGCUAAGAAGUUGAACUGGCGUACAUAUUUUCAGGUCCCCUCCCAUGGCCUCAUCUCUAAACUUCCUCAGACAACACCACCAUCUGGUGACCAAUAGGUUAAACACAUGAUUGUGUUGGUUACAUUUCACAUCCAAACCACAGCAAACAGCUAGCCUGCAUACAUGUAUAUGUACAUUACAUGUACAUAUAUGUGUCUUACACACAUAAAGGCAAUAAUUUUAAUAUCGUCUCAAGAAUGAACUUAAAAUAAUAUCAUGCUUAUUUACUUAAAUACAUUUUAAUUUAUUCUUUGAGGAUUUCAUACAUAAAGGCAGUAAUUUUGAUUACCUGCACCUCCGUGCCACUCUACUCUGAGACCUCUCUUCACUGUGACCAUCUCUAACAUCAUGUCCUACUUUAAAGAAAACCCACUGAGAGCAGGGUGACCUUCUGGGGCAUAUCCCUGAAGCAAGAGGAUUCUCCUCUUAGCAGCCAUUGACUCUCAGUAGAUCAUCAGCUCCUCAGGAUGGGACCAGACUAGAAUGUUGGCUGGCUUGACCGUGCAGGUUUCAUGUAGGCAGCCACAACUGACAUGAAUGUUUAACUAAAAUCAUGCUUGGAAGUCAGUAAGCAGCACCUUCCAUGGCCUCUGCCUCAGCUCCUGCCUCCAGGUUCCUACCCAGUGUGAAAGUCUUAAAAUGUUAAAGAAAGUGCUGCAGGAGAGGAUUUUUAAAUAUUCUCACACAAAGAAAUAACAAACGUUUUAGAGGAAGCAUAAAAGCUAGAAACAAAACAAGACCUCCAC